UGCCUCAGUAACGGCGAGUGAAGCGGCAAAAGCUCAAAUUUGAAAUCUGGCCCUCUCAGGGUCCGAGUUGUAAUUUGCAGAAGCUGUUUCGGGUGUGGCCCCGGGCUAAGUUCCUUGGAACAGGGCGUCAUAGAGGGUGAGAAUCCCGUAUGCGCCUGGGUGCCCACGCCCAUGUGAAACGCUUUCGACGAGUCGAGUUGUUUGGGAAUGCAGCUCAAAAUGGGUGGUAUAUUUCAUCUAAAGCUAAAUAUGGGCCAGAGACCGAUAGCGCACAAGUAGAGUGAUCGAAAGAUGAAAAGCACUUUGGAAAGAGAGUUAAACAGUACGUGAAAUUGUUGAAAGGGAAGCGCUUGCAAUCAGACUUGCGCCCGGGCGAUCAUCGGGGGUUCUCCCCCGUGCACUCGUUCGGGCGCAGGCCAGCAUCGGUUCUCGUGGUGGGAUAAAGGCCCUGGGAAUGUGGCCCCUCUCGGGGGGUGUUAUAGCCCAGGGCGCCAUGCCGCCUACGGGGACCGAGGACCGCGCUUCGGCUAGGAUGCUGGCGUAAUGGUUGUAAGCGACCCGUCUUGAAACACGGACCAAGGAGUCUAACAUCUAUGCGAGUGUUUGGGUGUCAAACCCAUACGCGUAAUGAAAGUGAACGGAGGUGAGAGCCCUCAAGGGCGCAUCAUCGACCGAUCCUGAUGUCUUCGGAUGGAUUUGAGUAAGAGCAUAGCUGUUGGGACCCGAAAGAUGGUGAACUAUGCGUGAAUAGGGUGAAGCCAGAGGAAACUCUGGUGGAGGCUCGCAGCGGUUCUGACGUGCAAAUCGAUCGUCAAAUUUGCGUAUAGGG
This 829-nucleotide ribosomal RNA is filed under the name Neomelanconium gelatosporum. Its description in RNAcentral is "partial large subunit ribosomal RNA". It matches the Rfam family "Eukaryotic large subunit ribosomal RNA", at positions 76 to 922 of the family's 3401-position model. The record is from RNAcentral. Lineage: Eukaryota; Fungi; Ascomycota; Leotiomycetes; Helotiales; Cenangiaceae.